AUUGAACGCUGGCGGCAUGCCUUACACAUGCAAGUCGAACGGUAACAGGUCUUCGGAUGCUGACGAGUGGCGAACGGGUGAGUAAUACAUCGGAACAUGCCCAGUCGUGGGGGAUAACACUUCGAAAGAAGUGCUAAUACCGCAUACGUCCUGAGGGAGAAAGCGGGGGAUCGCAAGACCUCGCGCGAUUGGAGUGGCCGAUGUCAGAUUAGCUAGUUGGUGGGGUAAAGGCCUACCAAGGCAACGAUCUGUAGCUGGUCUGAGAGGAUGAUCAGCCACACUGGGACUGAGACACGGCCCAGACUCCUACGGGAGGCAGCAGUGGGGAAUUUUGGACAAUGGGGGCAACCCUGAUCCAGCCAUUCCGCGUGAGUGAAGAAGGCCUUCGGGUUGUAAAGCUCUUUCGGCAGGAACGAAACGGUGAGCUCUAACAUAGCUUGCUAAUGACGGUACCUGAAGAAGAAGCACCGGCUAACUACGUGCCAGCAGCCGCCGUAA
This 498-nucleotide ribosomal RNA is filed under the name uncultured bacterium. RNAcentral's name for it is "partial 16S ribosomal RNA". It matches the Rfam family "Bacterial small subunit ribosomal RNA", at positions 30 to 523 of the family's 1533-position model. The record is from RNAcentral.